RNAcentral lists this ribosomal RNA (497 nucleotides) under uncultured bacterium. RNAcentral's name for it is "partial 16S ribosomal RNA". It matches the Rfam family "Bacterial small subunit ribosomal RNA", at positions 28 to 507 of the family's 1533-position model. The record is from RNAcentral.
GAUGAACGCUGGCGGCGUGCCUAAUACAUGCAAGUCGAGCGAACGGACGAGAAGCUUGCUUCUCUGAUGUUAGCGGCGGACGGGUGAGUAACACGUGGAUAACCUACCUAUAAGACUGGGAUAACUUCGGGAAACCGGAGCUAAUACCGGAUGAUAUUUUGAACCGCAUGGUUCAAAAGUGAAAGACGGUCUUGCUGUCACUUAUAGAUGGAUCCGCGCUGCAUUAGCUAGUUGGUAAGGUAACGGCUUACCAAGGCAACGAUGCAUAGCCGACCUGAGAGGGUGAUCGGCCACACUGGAACUGAGACACGGUCCAGACUCCUACGGGAGGCAGCAGUAGGGAAUCUUCCGCAAUGGGCGAAAGCCUGACGGAGCAACGCCGCGUGAGUGAUGAAGGUCUUCGGAUCGUAAAACUCUGUUAUUAGGGGAGAACAUAUGUGUAAGUAACUGUGCACAUCUUGACGGUACCUAAUCAGAAAGCCACGGCUAACUACGUG